Molecule: long non-coding RNA, 873 nt
Organism: Capsicum annuum
Lineage: Eukaryota; Viridiplantae; Streptophyta; Magnoliopsida; Solanales; Solanaceae
Exons: 2
Source: RefSeq, a predicted model, not a curated record
CGAUUAGAUGAACACUCCCAUAGUUUCAGUUUCAGUUUCGGACUCAGUGUAAAACCUCAGUUCAGUUUUAGAAUCAGGACUGUCAGACACAGUCACCCAGCUCAGCACGAAACUCAGUUUAGUUCCACGGAAUCAUGACUGUCAGCAAUAGUCAUUCAGUUAAUAGUAAUACAGUAUCAGUAAACUCUGAUAUCAGUCAUUUAAUUUUCAGAACUCAUUAUUCAGUAUUAAAUGUGAUCUCAGUUACAGUAUAGUAUACAUAGUUAUGUGUAUAGCAUUGCAUAAUAAGUAUUUACAACAGUUUCAGAUAUACAUGUACUCUCAUUCAGUUAUAUUAAUAUUAUUCACCCAGUUAUUAUUCAUCCAUAUGAUCCCAUGCAUUCAGCCUUACCUCACCUAGCAUACCAAUAUAUUCAAAGUACUGAUGCAUACCUUUCUUUUGCACUAUGAUGUCUUAUAUUAUAGGUUCAGAUGCACGGGCUCUUGACUGUACCUAGUAGCUCAGAUUAUAAACUGCAGAUUUAGUGGUUAAUGUUGAGGAGUUUGAGGAAUCCAGCAGUGCUAUAAAAUUUUAAAGCAAGUGGAGUAGCAAAUGAUCUAUCCAAAUUAGGUUCUCAACUAACAAGGAUCAGUUCUAAUCACUUUUUGUUAUCUCCACCCAAUGAUGUGGAAGCACAAUUGAAACAAGAUCGUAAUGGAGUCUUAUCUAGUAGACUAAUUUCCUAAUCAUCAUGUAAUAAGUUAUAGUUCACUUAGAGAAAAAAUUUAUAAUGUAGUACUACUAGUAGUAAUAACUCUAUUUGAUCAGGCUCUUUCAUUAGCUUAAACUCUAGCAACAGUUCUAUUUUGUUAUUGCAUGGUACCAACUUGAUA